AUUGAACGCUGGCGGCAUGCUUUACACAUGCCAGUCGAACGGUAACAGCACUUCGGUGGCUGACGAGUGGCGAACGGGUGAGUAAUACAUCGGAACGUGCCUAGUAGUUGGGGAUAACUACUCGAAAGAGUAGCUAAUACCUCAUGAGAUCUAAGGAUGAAAGCAGGGGACCUUCGGGCCUUGCGCUACUAGAGCGGCUGAUGGCAGAUUAGUUAGUUGGUGGGAUAAAAGCUUACCAAGCCGACGAUCUGUAGCUGGUCUGAGAGGACGACCAGCCACACUGGGACUGAGACACGGCCCAGACUCCUACGGGAGGCAGCAGUGGGGAAUUUUGGACAAUGGGCGCAAGCCUGAUCCAGCAAUGCCGCGUGCAGGAUGAAGGCCUUCGGGUUGUAAACUGCUUUUGUACGGAACGAAAAGCCCUCUUCUAAUACAGGAGGGUCAUGACGGUACCGUAAGAAUAAGCACCGGCUAACUACGUG
RNAcentral lists this ribosomal RNA (482 nucleotides) under uncultured bacterium. Its description in RNAcentral is "partial 16S ribosomal RNA". It matches the Rfam family "Bacterial small subunit ribosomal RNA", at positions 30 to 507 of the family's 1533-position model. The record is from RNAcentral.